UCCGGUUCGUCACCGGCAGUCUCAUUAGAGUGCCCUUUCGUAGCAACUAAGGGCAAGGGUUGCGCUCGUUGCGGGACUUAACCCAACAUCUCACGACACGAGCUGACGACAGCCAUGCAGCACCUCUAGAGUAGUCCGGUAAAGGACAUUGACAUCUCUGCCAACUUCCACUCCAGUUCAAGCCCAGGUAAGGUUCUUCGCGUUGCGUCGAAUUGAACCACAUGCUCCACCGCUUGUGCGGGCCCCCGUCAAUUCCUUUGAGUUUCCGCCUUGCGACCGUACUCCCCAGGCGGGAUACUUAAUGCGUUAGCUUCGGCACGGGAGGAUUUAACACCCCCCACACCAAGUAUCCAUCGUUUAGGGCUAGGACUAC
This 373-nucleotide unclassified non-coding RNA is filed under the name uncultured Acidobacteriota bacterium. RNAcentral's name for it is "uncultured Acidobacteria bacterium contains 16S-23S intergenic spacer region". Lineage: Bacteria; Pseudomonadati; Acidobacteriota. The record is from RNAcentral.